This 1249-nucleotide ribosomal RNA is filed under the name Salmonella enterica subsp. enterica serovar Typhimurium. Its description in RNAcentral is "partial 23S ribosomal RNA". It matches the Rfam family "Bacterial large subunit ribosomal RNA", at positions 1 to 1190 of the family's 2925-position model. The record is from RNAcentral. Lineage: Bacteria; Pseudomonadati; Pseudomonadota; Gammaproteobacteria; Enterobacterales; Enterobacteriaceae.
GGUUAAGCGACUAAGCGUACACGGUGGAUGCCCUGGCAGUCAGAGGCGAUGAAGGGCGUGCUAAUCUGCGAUAAGCGCCGGUAAGGUGAUAUGAACCGUUAUAACCGGCGAUACCCGAAUGGGGAAACCCAGUGUGAUUCGUCACACUAUCAUUAACUGAAUCCAUAGGUUAAUGAGGCGAACCGGGGGAACUGAAACAUCUAAGUACCCCGAGGAAAAGAAAUCAACCGAGAUUCCCCCAGUAGCGGCGAGCGAACGGGGAGGAGCCCAGAGCCUGAAUCAGCAUGUGUGUUAGUGGAAGCGUCUGGAAAGGCGCGCGAUACAGGGUGACAGCCCCGUACACAAAAGCGCAUGUGCUGUGAGCUCGAUGAGUAGGGCGGGACACGUGGUAUCCUGUCUGAAUAUGGGGGGACCAUCCUCCAAGGCUAAAUACUCCUGACUGACCGAUAGUGAACCAGUACCGUGAGGGAAAGGCGAAAAGAACCCCGGCGAGGGGAGUGAAAAAGAACCUGAAACCGUGUACGUACAAGCAGUGGGAGCCCCACCACUAAGCCAGUGGUGAACUCCACAUCCGCAUCCUUUGCUGAGGAUACGGUUAACGGAGCGAAAGCGACGUUCAACCGCAAAACAAGCAGAGGGGGCUUAGUGGUGGGGUGACUGCGUACCUUUUGUAUAAUGGGUCAGCGACUUAUAUUCUGUAGCAAGGUUAACCGUAUAGGGGAGCCGGAGGGAAACCGAGUCUUAACCGGGCGUUAAGUUGCAGGGUAUAGACCCGAAACCCGGUGAUCUAGCCAUGGGCAGGUUGAAGGUUGGGUAACACUAACUGGAGGACCGAACCGACUAAUGUUGAAAAAUUAGCGGAUGACCUGUGGCUGGGGGUGAAAGGCCAAUCAAACCGGGAGAUAGCUGGUUCUCCCCGAAAGCUAUUUAGGUAGCGCCUCGUGAAUUCAUCUCCGGGGGUAGAGCACUGUUUCGGCUAGGGGGCCAUCCCGGCUUACCAACCCGAUGCAAACUGCGAAUACCGGAGAAUGUUAUCACGGGAGACACACGGCGGGUGCUAACGUCCGUCGUGAAGAGGGAAACAACCCAGACCGCCAGCUAAGGUCCCAAAGUCAUGGUUAAGUGGGAAACGAUGUGGGAAGGCCCAGACAGCCAGGAUGUUGGCUUAGAAGCAGCCAUCAUUUAAAGAAAGCGUAAUAGCUCACUGGUCGAGUCGGCCUGCGCGGAAGAUGUAACGGGGCUAAACCAU